UGGGGAAUAUUGGACAAUGGGCGAAAGCCUGAUCCAGCCAUGCCGCGUGAGUGAUGAAGGCCUUAGGGUUGUAAAGCUCUUUCGCCAGGGACGAUAAUGACGGUACCUGGAUAAGAAGCCCCGGCUAACUUCGUGCCAGCAGCCGCGGUAAUACGAAGGGGGCUAGCGUUGUUCGGAAUCACUGGGCGUAAAGCGCAUGCAGGCGGAUCGUUAAGUCGGGGGUGAAAGCCCGAGGCUCAACCUCGGAGCUGCCUUCGAUACUGGCGAUCUUGAGUCCGGGAGAGGUGAGUGGAACUCCGAGUGUAGAGGUGAAAUUCGUAGAUAUUCGGAAGAACACCAGUGGCGAAGGCGGCUCACUGGCCCGGUACUGACGCUGAGAUGCGAAAGCGUGGGGAGCAAACA
This 402-nucleotide ribosomal RNA is filed under the name uncultured bacterium. RNAcentral's name for it is "bacterial SSU rRNA". It matches the Rfam family "Bacterial small subunit ribosomal RNA", at positions 355 to 774 of the family's 1533-position model. The record is from RNAcentral.